Molecule: ribosomal RNA, 1311 nt
Filed under: Escherichia coli
Lineage: Bacteria; Pseudomonadati; Pseudomonadota; Gammaproteobacteria; Enterobacterales; Enterobacteriaceae
Also listed under: 1 other name
Description: bacterial LSU rRNA
Rfam family: Bacterial large subunit ribosomal RNA
Source: RNAcentral
CGACACAGGUGGUCAGGUAGAGAAUACCAAGGCGCUUGAGAGAACUCGGGUGAAGGAACUAGGCAAAAUGGUGCCGUAACUUCGGGAGAAGGCACGCUGAUAUGUAGGUGAAGUCCCUCGCGGAUGGAGCUGAAAUCAGUCGAAGAUACCAGCUGGCUGCAACUGUUUAUUAAAAACACAGCACUGUGCAAACACGAAAGUGGACGUAUACGGUGUGACGCCUGCCCGGUGCCGGAAGGUUAAUUGAUGGGGUCAGCGCAAGCGAAGCUCUUGAUCGAAGCCCCGGUAAACGGCGGCCGUAACUAUAACGGUCCUAAGGUAGCGAAAUUCCUUGUCGGGUAAGUUCCGACCUGCACGAAUGGCGUAAUGAUGGCCAGGCUGUCUCCACCCGAGACUCAGUGAAAUUGAACUCGCUGUGAAGAUGCAGUGUACCCGCGGCAAGACGGAAAGACCCCGUGAACCUUUACUAUAGCUUGACACUGAACAUUGAGCCUUGAUGUGUAGGAUAGGUGGGAGGCUUUGAAGUGUGGACGCCAGUCUGCAUGGAGCCGACCUUGAAAUACCACCCUUUAAUGUUUGAUGUUCUAACGUGGACCCGUGAUCCGGGUUGCGGACAGUGUCUGGUGGGUAGUUUGACUGGGGCGGUCUCCUCCUAAAGAGUAACGGAGGAGCACGAAGGUUGGCUAAUCCUGGUCGGACAUCAGGAGGUUAGUGCAAUGGCAUAAGCCAGCUUGACUGCGAGCGUGACGGCGCGAGCAGGUGCGAAAGCAGGUCAUAGUGAUCCGGUGGUUCUGAAUGGAAGGGCCAUCGCUCAACGGAUAAAAGGUACUCCGGGGAUAACAGGCUGAUACCGCCCAAGAGUUCAUAUCGACGGCGGUGUUUGGCACCUCGAUGUCGGCUCAUCACAUCCUGGGGCUGAAGUAGGUCCCAAGGGUAUGGCUGUUCGCCAUUUAAAGUGGUACGCGAGCUGGGUUUAGAACGUCGUGAGACAGUUCGGUCCCUAUCUGCCGUGGGCGCUGGAGAACUGAGGGGGGCUGCUCCUAGUACGAGAGGACCGGAGUGGACGCAUCACUGGUGUUCGGGUUGUCAUGCCAAUGGCACUGCCCGGUAGCUAAAUGCGGAAGAGAUAAGUGCUGAAAGCAUCUAAGCACGAAACUUGCCCCGAGAUGAGUUCUCCCUGACCCUUUAAGGGUCCUGAAGGAACGUUGAAGACGACGACGUUGAUAGGCCGGGUGUGUAAGCGCAGCGAUGCGUUGAGCUAACCGGUACUAAUGAACCGUGAGGCUUAACCUUACAACGCCGAAGGUGUUU